RNAcentral lists this ribosomal RNA (296 nucleotides) under Anaplasma phagocytophilum. Its description in RNAcentral is "partial 16S ribosomal RNA". It matches the Rfam family "Bacterial small subunit ribosomal RNA", at positions 141 to 453 of the family's 1533-position model. The record is from RNAcentral. Lineage: Bacteria; Pseudomonadati; Pseudomonadota; Alphaproteobacteria; Rickettsiales; Anaplasmataceae.
GGAUAGCCACUAGAAAUGGUGGGUAAUACUGUAUAAUCCCUGCGGGGGAAAGAUUUAUCGCUACAUGAUGAGCCUAUGUUAGAUUAGCUAGUUGGUAGGGUAAAGGCCUACCAAGGCGAUGAUCUAUAGCUGGUCUGAGAGGAUGAUCAGCCACACUGGAACUGAGAUACGGUCCAGACUCCUACGGGAGGCAGCAGUGGGGAAUAUUGGACAAUGGGCGCAAGCCUGAUCCAGCUAUGCCGCGUGAGUGAAGAAGGCCUUAGGGUUGUAAAACUCUUUCAGUAGGGAAGAUAAUG